CCGGUUGUCUGGCACUCCUCCAGCGUCUUAUGAUAGAUAAGCAUAUCAUCCCACUUGUUGGACAUCCGGAACUCAUCAUCUCCAAAGAAGUCCCUCACUUCCUCUGGAGUUGCAUUCUCAAAGAUAGUACUACUCUGAUAUUGGGGAGGUCCGGUCUAAUUUCAUCCAAACAAAACUCAAUCAUUAUCGGAACACGAAAUUAAGUAAACAAAGAAGCACACUACAUUUCAAUUUUGCAAAAGAACAGCUCAUGAAGAAUUGUUCACCUGGGCAUCCCUCCUCCACGCCUGGUAGGUCAUGGUGGGCAGCGACUUCUCCAUCAUCUUGAUCCAGGCCGGGCCGCCGUCCCUGCCUUCCACCAGCCUCCAAAGGUUCACCAGGUCUUCCUUCCCCACAGCUAGCUCCUCGUUCGCCAUCUCCGACGACCUGCCAAGCACCACCACCAUUCCGUCAAAGGCGGGCUCCCUUUCACACGCCAAAAUCCACCAAAAACACGGCUUUGACCACAACCCAGACCAAGAACCAUAGCGCAUUUCUCCAAAGUUGGCGAGCCUACAUACCCUUGCGCGGCGGCCUUGUCCUCCUCCCGCUGCUGCACGGCGGUCCCAGCGUAGCCGAGCGGCGCCCGGAGACGGGCGGGGAGCUGGGCCUUCCAGAAGUCGAGCGUGGCGAAGGGCGCUUGCGCCGGCGCCGGUGCAGCGGCACUGCCGUCGGCGGUGGCGACGAGACCGGCGGCCCAGCGCGGGCGCCAGGCCCAGCCGAGCAGAAGGCCGAUGAGGGCCGCCGCCCAGAGGGGCCCCGCGAGGAGCGCCAUCUCCCAGACCGCCCCCCACGCCGUGGGCUGCUCCAGCACCCUCGCCACCGCCGACAGCACGUACCCCAUCGGAGCCGACCGGGCGGGCGGCGACGGCGUGGGGGGACGGACGCGGCGGUGCGGAUGGGGGGUGUGGGGAGGAGAAGAGGGGCAGGAAGGAAGGAACGGGGCUUUGCGGCCUACGGAG
Molecule: long non-coding RNA, 1001 nt
Filed under: Setaria italica (foxtail millet)
Lineage: Eukaryota; Viridiplantae; Streptophyta; Magnoliopsida; Poales; Poaceae
Description: long non-coding RNA (SITA_LNC000203)
Source: RNAcentral